RNAcentral lists this ribosomal RNA (437 nucleotides) under uncultured bacterium. RNAcentral's name for it is "bacterial SSU rRNA". It matches the Rfam family "Bacterial small subunit ribosomal RNA", at positions 30 to 507 of the family's 1533-position model. The record is from RNAcentral.
AUUGAACGCUGGCGGCAUGGCUAAUGCAUGCAAGUCGAACGAAAGCCCUUCGGGGCGAAAGUGGCGAAAGGGCGAGUAAUACGAUCGAACGUACCCCAAGGUGGAGGAUAGUGUCGGGAAACUGACGGUAAUACUCCAUGUGCUCUUCGGAGGAAAGCUUUGGCGCCUCGGGAGCGGCGAUCGUCCUAUCAGGUAGUUGGUGAGGUAAUGGCUCACCAAGCCGAAGACGGGUAGCGGGUGUGAGAGCAUGACCCGCCGCAUCGGGACUGAGACACUGCCCGGACUCCUACGGGAGGCUGCAGCGACGAAUCUUCCGCAAUGGGCGCAAGCCUGACGGAGCAAUGCCGCGUGUGGGACGAAGCGUCUUCGACGUGUAAACCACUGUCAGAAUCUAGGAACACUGAUCAGAUUCAAAGGAAGGGCCGGCUAACCUCGUG